AGAGUUUGAUCCUGGCUCAGAGCGAACGCUGGCGGCAGGCCUAACACAUGCAAGUCGAACGAACUCUUCGGAGUUAGUGGCGGACGGGUGAGUAACACGUGGGAACGUGCCUUUAGGUUCGGAAUAACUCAGGGAAACUUGUGCUAAUACCGAAUGUGCCCUUCGGGGGAAAGAUUUAUCGCCUUUAGGGCGGCCCGCGUCUGAUUAGCUAGUUGGUGAGGUAAAGGCUCACCAAGGCGACGAUCAGUAGCUGGUCUGAGAGGAUGAUCAGCCACAUUGGGACUGAGACACGGCCCAAACUCCUACGGGAGGCAGCAGUGGGGAAUCUUGCGCAAUGGGCGAAAGCCUGACGCAGCCAUGCCGCGUGAAUGAUGAAGGUCUUAGGAUUGUAAAAUUCUUUCACCGGGGACGAUAAUGACGGUACCCGGAGAAGAAGCCCCGGCUAACUUCGUGCCAGCAGCCGCGGUAAUACGAAGGGGGCUAGCGUUGCUCGGAAUUACUGGGCGUAAAGGGAGCGUAGGCGGACAUUUAAGUCAGGGGUGAAAUCCCGGGGCUCAACCUCGGAAUUGCCUUUGAUACUGGGUGUCUUGAGUAUGAGAGAGGUGUGUGGAACUCCGAGUGUAGAGGUGAAAUUCGUAGAUAUUCGGAAGAACACCAGUGGCGAAGGCGACACACUGGCUCAUUACUGACGCUGAGGCUCGA
This 702-nucleotide ribosomal RNA is filed under the name uncultured bacterium. RNAcentral describes it as "bacterial SSU rRNA". It matches the Rfam family "Bacterial small subunit ribosomal RNA", at positions 8 to 756 of the family's 1533-position model. The record is from RNAcentral.